CAGUCGCCACGGUAAUACGAAGGGGGCUAGCGUUGCUCGGAAUUACUGGGCGUAAAGGGCGCGUAGGCGGCGAUCAAAGUCAGGCGUGGAAUUCCUGGGCUCAACCGGGGAGGGUCAUUGGAAACUGGGAAACUUGAGUGCAGAAGAGGAGAGUGGAAUCCCACGUGUAGCGGUGAAGUGCGUAGAGAUGUGGAGGAACACCAGUGGCGAAGGCGACUCUCUGGUCUGUAACUGACGCUGAGGAGCGAAAGCGUGGGGAGCGAACAGGAUUAGAGACCCCCGUAGUCCCUGUCUCUUAUAC
This 301-nucleotide ribosomal RNA is filed under the name uncultured bacterium. RNAcentral's name for it is "partial 16S ribosomal RNA". It matches the Rfam family "Bacterial small subunit ribosomal RNA", at positions 509 to 807 of the family's 1533-position model. The record is from RNAcentral.